UGCCGGUCCUCUCGCGGCAGAUCUCUGUAAACCCCGCCAGGCCCGGAAGGGAGCAACGGUAGCAGCAGGUUUGGGCGCCGGGAUGUGGCUGGCACGG
This 97-nucleotide signal recognition particle RNA is filed under the name Oceanococcus atlanticus. RNAcentral describes it as "Bacterial small signal recognition particle RNA". It matches the Rfam family "Bacterial small signal recognition particle RNA". From Rfam's summary of the family: The signal recognition particle (SRP) is a universally conserved ribonucleoprotein involved in the co-translational targeting of proteins to membranes. Archaeal SRP consists of a 7S RNA and homologues of the eukaryotic SRP19 and SRP54 proteins. Lineage: Bacteria; Pseudomonadati; Pseudomonadota; Gammaproteobacteria; Chromatiales; Oceanococcaceae. The record is from Rfam by way of RNAcentral. RNAcentral also lists the same sequence under 1 other name.